RNAcentral lists this ribosomal RNA (514 nucleotides) under Nothophoma quercina. RNAcentral describes it as "eukaryotic LSU rRNA". The stretch from base 144 to 297 matches the Rfam family "5.8S ribosomal RNA". Lineage: Eukaryota; Fungi; Ascomycota; Dothideomycetes; Pleosporales; Didymellaceae. The record is from RNAcentral.
GCUUUCAAGAGUGUAGGCUUUGCCUGCUAUCUCUUACCCAUGUCUUUUGAGUACCUUACGUUUCCUCGGCGGGUCCGCCCGCCGAUUGGACAAUUUAAACCAUUUGCAGUUGCAAUCAGCGUCUGAAAAAACUUAAUAGUUACAACUUUCAACAACGGAUCUCUUGGUUCUGGCAUCGAUGAAGAACGCAGCGAAAUGCGAUAAGUAGUGUGAAUUGCAGAAUUCAGUGAAUCAUCGAAUCUUUGAACGCACAUUGCGCCCCUUGGUAUUCCAUGGGGCAUGCCUGUUCGAGCGUCAUUUGUACCUUCAAGCUCUGCUUGGUGUUGGGUGUUUGUCUCGCCUCUGCGUGUAGACUCGCCUCAAAACAAUUGGCAGCCGGCGUAUUGAUUUCGGAGCGCAGUACAUCUCGCGCUUUGCACUCAUAACGACGACGUCCAAAAGUACAUUUUUACACUCUUGACCUCGGAUCAGGUAGGGAUACCCGCUGAACUUAAGCAUAUCAAUAAGCGGAGGA